RNAcentral lists this ribosomal RNA (466 nucleotides) under uncultured bacterium. RNAcentral's name for it is "partial 16S ribosomal RNA". It matches the Rfam family "Bacterial small subunit ribosomal RNA", at positions 28 to 507 of the family's 1533-position model. The record is from RNAcentral.
GACGAACGCUGGCGGCGCGCCUAACACAUGCAAGUCGAACGAGCGAGAGAGAGCUUGCUUUCUCGAGCGAGUGGCGAACGGGUGAGUAACGCGUGAGGAACCUGCCUCAAAGAGGGGGACAACAGUUGGAAACGACUGCUAAUACCGCAUAAGCCCACGACCCGGCAUCGGGUAGAGGGAAAAGGAGCAAUCCGCUUUGAGAUGGCCUCGCGUCCGAUUAGCUAGUUGGUGAGGUAACGGCCCACCAUGGCGACGAUCGGUAGCCGGACUGAGAGGUUGAACGGCCACAUUGGGACUGAGACACGGCCCAGACUCCUACGGGAAGCAGCAGUGGGGAAUAUUGCACAAUGGGGGAAACCCUGAUGCAGCGACGCCGCGUGGAGGAAGAAGGUCUUCGGAUUGUAAACUCCUGUUGUUGAGGAAGAUAAUGACGGUACUCAACAAGGAAGUGACGGCUAACUACGUG